Molecule: ribosomal RNA, 1419 nt
Filed under: Escherichia coli
Lineage: Bacteria; Pseudomonadati; Pseudomonadota; Gammaproteobacteria; Enterobacterales; Enterobacteriaceae
Description: partial 23S ribosomal RNA
Rfam family: Bacterial large subunit ribosomal RNA
Source: RNAcentral
CGGGACACGUGGUAUCCUGUCUGAAUAUGGGGGGACCAUCCUCCAAGGCUAAAUACUCCUGACUGACCGAUAGUGAACCAGUACCGUGAGGGAAAGGCGAAAAGAACCCCGGCGAGGGGAGUGAAAAAGAACCUGAAACCGUGUACGUACAAGCAGUGGGAGCACAGAGCAAUCUGUGUGACUGCGUACCUUUUGUAUAAUGGGUCAGCGACUUAUAUUCUGUAGCAAGGUUAACCGAAUAGGGGAGCCGAAGGGAAACCGAGUCUUAACUGGGCGUUAAGUUGCAGGGUAUAGACCCGAAACCCGGUGAUCUAGCCAUGGGCAGGUUGAAGGUUGGGUAACACUAACUGGAGGACCGAACCGACUAAUGUUGAAAAAUUAGCGGAUGACUUGUGGCUGGGGGUGAAAGGCCAAUCAAACCGGGAGAUAGCUGGUUCUCCCCGAAAGCUAUUUAGGUAGCGCCUCGUGAAUUCAUCUCCGGGGGUAGAGCACUGUUUCGGCAAGGGGGUCAUCCCGACUUACCAACCCGAUGCAAACUGCGAAUACCGGAGAAUGUUAUCACGGGAGACACACGGCGGGUGCUAACGUCCGUCGUGAAGAGGGAAACAACCCAGACCGCCAGCUAAGGUCCCAAAGUCAUGGUUAAGUGGGAAACGAUGUGGGAAGGCCCAGACAGCCAGGAUGUUGGCUUAGAAGCAGCCAUCAUUUAAAGAAAGCGUAAUAGCUCACUGGUCGAGUCGGCCUGCGCGGAAGAUGUAACGGGGCUAAACCAUGCACCGAAGCUGCGGCAGCGACGCUGAUGCGUUGUUGGGUAGGGGAGCGUUCUGUAAGCCUGUGAAGGUGUGCUGUGAGGCAUGCUGGAGGUAUCAGAAGUGCGAAUGCUGACAUAAGUAACGAUAAAGCGGGUGAAAAGCCCGCUCGCCGGAAGACCAAGGGUUCCUGUCCAACGUUAAUCGGGGCAGGGUGAGUCGACCCCUAAGGCGAGGCCGAAAGGCGUAGUCGAUGGGAAACAGGUUAAUAUUCCUGUACUUGGUGUUACUGCGAAGGGGGGACGGAGAAGGCUAUGUUGGCCGGGCGACGGUUGUCCCGGUUUAAGCGUGUAGGCUGGUUUUCCAGGCAAAUCCGGAAAAUCAAGGCUGAGGCGUGAUGACGAGGCACUACGGUGCUGAAGCAACAAAUGCCCUGCUUCCAGGAAAAGCCUCUAAGCAUCAGGUAACAUCAAAUCGUACCCCAAACCGACACAGGUGGUCAGGUAGAGAAUACCAAGGCGCUUGAGAGAACUCGGGUGAAGGAACUAGGCAAAAUGGUGCCGUAACUUCGGGAGAAGGCACGCUGAUAUGUAGGUGAGGUCCCUCGCGGAUGGAGCUGAAAUCAGUCGAAGAUACCAGCUGGCUGCAACUGUUUAUUAAAAACACAGCA